This 253-nucleotide ribosomal RNA is filed under the name uncultured bacterium. RNAcentral's name for it is "partial 16S ribosomal RNA". It matches the Rfam family "Bacterial small subunit ribosomal RNA", at positions 524 to 776 of the family's 1533-position model. The record is from RNAcentral.
UACGUAGGGGGCUAGCGUUGUCCGGAAUCAUUGGGCGUAAAGCGCGCGUAGGCGGCCCAGUAAGUCCGUUGUAAAAGUCAAAGGCUCAACCUUUGAAAGCCGAUGGAUACUGCUGGGCUAGAGUCCGGAAGAGGCGAGUGGAAUUCCUGGUGUAGCGGUGAAAUGCGCAGAUAUCAGGAGGAACACCUAUUGCGAAGGCAGCGCGCUGGGACGUAACUGACGCUGAGACGCGAAAGCGUGGGGAGCAAACAGG